RNAcentral lists this ribosomal RNA (253 nucleotides) under uncultured bacterium. RNAcentral's name for it is "partial 16S ribosomal RNA". It matches the Rfam family "Bacterial small subunit ribosomal RNA", at positions 524 to 776 of the family's 1533-position model. The record is from RNAcentral.
UACGUAGGGUGCGAGCGUUAAUCGGAAUUACUGGGCGUAAAGCGUGCGCAGGCGGUUUUGUAAGCCAGAUGUGAAAUCCCCGGGCUUAACCUGGGAAUGGCAUUUGGGACUGCAAGGCUUGAGUGCGGCAGAGGAGACUGGAAUUCCUGGUGUAGCAGUGAAAUGCGUAGAUAUCAGGAGGAACACCGAUGGCGAAGGCAGGUCUCUGGGCUGACACUGACGCUCAUGCACGAAAGCUAGGGGAGCAAACAGG